Molecule: ribosomal RNA, 253 nt
Filed under: uncultured bacterium
Lineage: Bacteria
Description: partial 16S ribosomal RNA
Rfam family: Bacterial small subunit ribosomal RNA
Source: RNAcentral
UACGAAGGGGGCUAGCGUUGCUCGGAAUCACUGGGCGUAAAGGGUGCGUAGGCGGGUCUUUAAGUCAGGGGUGAAAUCCUGGAGCUCAACUCCAGAACUGCCUUUGAUACUGAAGAUCUUGAGUUCGGGAGAGGUGAGUGGAACUGCGAGUGUAGAGGUGAAAUUCGUAGAUAUUCGGAAGAACACCAGUGGCGAAGGCGACACACUGGCCCGUUACUGACGCUGAGGCGCGAAAGCGUGGGGAGCAAACAGG